GACGAACGCUGGCGGCGUGCUUAACACAUGCAAGUCGAGCGGUAAGGCCCUUUCGGGGGUACACGAGCGGCGAACGGGUGAGUAACACGUGGGUGACCUGCCCUCAGCUCUGGGAUAAGCCUGGGAAACCGGGUCUAAUACUGGAUAUGACUCCAUGACGCAUGUUGUGGGGUGGAAAGCCUUGUGCGGCUGAGGAUGGGGCCCNCGGCCUAUCAGCUUGUUGGUGGGGUGANGGCCUACCAAGGCGACGACGGGUAGCCGGCCUGAGAGGGCGACCGG
Molecule: ribosomal RNA, 279 nt
Filed under: uncultured bacterium
Lineage: Bacteria
Description: partial 16S ribosomal RNA
Rfam family: Bacterial small subunit ribosomal RNA
Source: RNAcentral